UUUAAGAAGUUGCUUCCUUUGCCC
RNAcentral lists this unclassified non-coding RNA (24 nucleotides) under Mus musculus (house mouse). RNAcentral describes it as "oocyte_clustered_small_RNA11423". The record is from RNAcentral. Lineage: Eukaryota; Metazoa; Chordata; Mammalia; Rodentia; Muridae.